GUUGGUGAACCAGCGGAGGGAUCAUUGCUGGAACGCGCUUCGGCGCACCCAGAAACCCUUUGUGAACUUAUACCUAUUGUUGCCUCGGCGUAGGCCGGCUUUUUCUAAAAGCCCCCUGGAAACAGGGAGAAGCCCGCCGGCGGCCAACCAAACUCUUGUUUCUACAGUGAAUCUCUGAGUAAAAAACAUAAAUGAAUCAAAACUUUCAACAACGGAUCUCUUGGUUCUGGCAUCGAUGAAGAACGCAGCGAAAUGCGAUAAGUAAUGUGAAUUGCAGAAUUCAGUGAAUCAUCGAAUCUUUGAACGCACAUUGCGCCCUCUGGUAUUCCGGAGGGCAUGCCUGUUCGAGCGUCAUUUCAACCCUCAAGCCUGGCUUGGUGAUGGGGCACUGCCUGUAAAAGGGCAGGCCCUGAAAUCUAGUGGCGAGCUCGCCAGGACCCCGAGCGUAGUAGUUAUAUCUCGCUCUGGAAGGCCCUGGCGGUGCCCUGCCGUUAAACCCCCAACUUCUGAAAAUUUGACCUCGGAUCAGGUAGGAAUACCCGCUGAACUUAAGCAUAUCAA
RNAcentral lists this ribosomal RNA (561 nucleotides) under Diaporthe kongii. Its description in RNAcentral is "eukaryotic LSU rRNA". The stretch from base 201 to 354 matches the Rfam family "5.8S ribosomal RNA". Lineage: Eukaryota; Fungi; Ascomycota; Sordariomycetes; Diaporthales; Diaporthaceae. The record is from RNAcentral.